GGGCUUUCGUCGCGCCAUCUUGCCCCCUAUAUUGAGCGGGCCGGUUCGCCGGCUACGGAAAUAAAUGGCCGUCGCAAUAAACCAUUCGGACCCGGGGGCAGCACCCGGCGCCUCCACCCAAGUUCCUCGGGAUCGCGCCAGGAACUUCGGCGGGGGCGAAACAGGAUCGACGAGGGCGUAAAGGGCGUGUUUUUUCUCGGUAUGGUUCCGCCGUUAUCGGGCUAUGCAAUAGUUGCAAACGACAACUAUGCUCCGGUUGCUCAGGCUGCGUAACGCAGUUUGAAAGACCAAGUCUAAAGUCCUAGUGGGUUAAGCUCCGCUAGGCGGGGUCCGGAGGCACCUGGCAACAGAAGCCUCCACU
RNAcentral lists this transfer-messenger RNA (361 nucleotides) under Hyphomicrobiales bacterium. RNAcentral describes it as "Rhizobiales bacterium (bioreactor metagenome) transfer-messenger RNA". It matches the Rfam family "Alphaproteobacteria transfer-messenger RNA". From Rfam's summary of the family: Bacterial tmRNA, also known as 10Sa RNA or SsrA, is named for its dual tRNA and mRNA-like properties. Lineage: Bacteria; Pseudomonadati; Pseudomonadota; Alphaproteobacteria; Hyphomicrobiales. The record is from RNAcentral.